RNAcentral lists this ribosomal RNA (160 nucleotides) under Trifolium repens (white clover). RNAcentral's name for it is "5.8S ribosomal RNA". It matches the Rfam family "5.8S ribosomal RNA". Rfam says of the family: 5.8S ribosomal RNA (5.8S rRNA) is a component of the large subunit of the eukaryotic ribosome. It is transcribed by RNA polymerase I as part of the 45S precursor that also contains 18S and 28S rRNA. Functionally, it is thought that 5.8S rRNA may be involved in ribosome translocation. RNAcentral also lists the same sequence under 4 other names. The record is from RNAcentral. Lineage: Eukaryota; Viridiplantae; Streptophyta; Magnoliopsida; Fabales; Fabaceae.
UGACUCUCGGCAACGGAUAUCUAGGCUCUUGCAUCGAUGAAGAACGUAGCGAAAUGCGAUACUUGGUGUGAAUUGCAGAAUCCCGUGAACCAUCGAGUCUUUGAACGCAAGUUGCGCCCGAUGCCAUUAGGUUGAGGGCACGUCUGCCUGGGCGUCACAU